GGCCACUGCUAUCAAGUUCCGACUAAGACAUGCGAGUCAAGGUAUCGUAAGAUGCCGGCAAACUGCUCAGUAACACGUGGAUAAUCUAACCUUGAGUAAGGGAUAACUUCGGGAAACUGAAGGUAAUACCUUAUAAUUGCUUAAAACUGGAAUGUUUUUGCAAUAAAAGUUACGACGCUCAAGGAUGAGUCUGCGACCUAUCAGGUAGUAGGUGGUGUAAUGGACCACCUAGCCUCAGACGGGUACGGGCCCUGGGAGGGGUAGCCCGGAGAUGGACUCUGAGACAUAAGUCCAGGCCCUACGGGGCGCAGCAGGCGCGAACACUGUGCAAUGCGCGAAAGCGCGACACGGGGAGCUUGAGUGUCUUGGCAUAGCCAAGACUUUUCUCAUUCCUAAAAAGCAUGAGGAAUAAGUGCUGGGUAAGACGGGUGCCAGCCGCCGCGGUAACACCCGCAGCACGAGUAGUGGUCACUUUUAUUGAGCCUAAAGCGUUCGUAGCCGGUUUUGUAAAUCUUCAGAUAAAGCCUGAAGCUUAACUCCAGAAAGUCUGAAGAGACUGCAAGACUUGAGAUCGGGUGAGGUUAAACGUACUUUCAGGGUAGGGGUAAAAUCCUGUAAUCCCGGAAGGACGACCAGUGGCGAAAGCGUUUAACUAGAACGAAUCUGACGGUAAGGAACGAAGGCUAGGGUAGCAAACCGGAUUAGAUACCCGGGUAGUCCUAGCUGUAAACAUUGCCCAUUUGAUGUUGCUUUUCCGUUGAGGGAAGGCAGUGUCGGAGCGAAGGUGUUAAAUGGGCCGCUUGGGAAGUAUGGUCGCAAGACUGAAACUUAAAGGAAUUGGCGGGGGAGCACCGCAACGGGAGGAAUGUGCGGUUUAAUUGGAUUCAACGCCGGAAAACUCACCGGGAACGACCUGUGCAUGAGAGUCAACCUGACGAGCUUACUCGAUAGCAGGAGAGGUGGUGCAUGGCCGUCGUCAGCUCGUACCGUAGGGCGUUCACUUAAGUGUGAUAACGAGCGAGACCCACAUCUUUAAUUGCAAAUGUAUAUGAGAAUAUGCAUGCACUUUAGAGAAACCGCCAGCGCUAAGCGGAAGGAAGGAGUGGUCGACGGCAGGUCAGUACGCCCCGAAUUUCCCGGGCUACACGCGCAUUACAAAGAACGGGACAAUACGUUGCAACCUCGAAAGAGGAAGCUAAUCGCGAAACCCGUCCAUAGUUAGGAUUGAGGGCUGUAACUCGCCCUCAUGAAUCUGGAUUCCGUAGUAAUCGCGGGUCAACAACCCGCGGUGAACAUGCCCCUGCUCCUUGCACACACCGCCCGUCAAACCAUCCGAGUUGGUGUUGGAUGAGG
Molecule: ribosomal RNA, 1353 nt
Filed under: Ferroplasma sp. OL10-04
Lineage: Archaea; Methanobacteriati; Thermoplasmatota; Thermoplasmata; Thermoplasmatales; Ferroplasmaceae
Description: 16S ribosomal RNA
Rfam family: Archaeal small subunit ribosomal RNA
Source: RNAcentral